This 266-nucleotide long non-coding RNA is filed under the name Ictidomys tridecemlineatus (thirteen-lined ground squirrel). RNAcentral describes it as "lncRNA (ENSSTOG00000034433.1)". The record is from RNAcentral. Lineage: Eukaryota; Metazoa; Chordata; Mammalia; Rodentia; Sciuridae.
CUCUGUGGCUUGUCUUUUUUGCCUGCAGGUGCCAUAGGUACUGCGACCAUUCUGCAUCUGGCAGGACACGAGUCCCGAUUCACGUUCACAGCCAGCAGUUCAUGUGGCCGAGGUAUUUUGUUAGCUCCAUAGUAUUCAACACACUCCAUGGUUCAUGUUAUGGGAAGACGCAGAGGAAGCAGGACAAGUGCGGGGAGGACAGACACCUCUUCUCCCUCUCCCUGGUUCAGAGACAAAGGAAUCUGAAAUCACCUAGAAUAAAAUGA